CUCGCCGAUGCCGGGCGGAUGACCAUGCUGUGGGCGUUGAUGGACGGUUCAGCCCGUCCGGCGGGG
RNAcentral lists this transfer RNA (66 nucleotides) under Pandoraea sp. NE5. Its description in RNAcentral is "tRNA-His". The record is from RNAcentral. Lineage: Bacteria; Pseudomonadati; Pseudomonadota; Betaproteobacteria; Burkholderiales; Burkholderiaceae.